Molecule: long non-coding RNA, 291 nt
Organism: Strongylocentrotus purpuratus (purple sea urchin)
Lineage: Eukaryota; Metazoa; Echinodermata; Echinoidea; Camarodonta; Strongylocentrotidae
Exons: 3
Source: RefSeq, a predicted model, not a curated record
AUCGUGCUUACUGUGAUAAAUGGAACCGGUCUACCAGGUGUACAUGCCCAGUCAUGUCACGAAAGACCUGAGGAUGCGUUAACAAGAUUAUUUCGACUCCGAUGUCGAAGAAGUCUUCUUAGCAAUGACUCGAUGAUCGCGUCUGAGCGCGAUCUAGCACCGUGGAUUCCAAAAGGGUGGGGAAUAAGAAUUAGAAGACGGCACGAUGUUUGCAGCGUUCUCGCACCAACGCCACCUUUAGAUGACAGAGACUUACAUGGUUCUCUUGCUCGGAGCGGUAACUUCACAGGU